Non-coding RNA from Pelobates cultripes (western spadefoot toad), 365 nucleotides. Lineage: Eukaryota; Metazoa; Chordata; Amphibia; Anura; Pelobatidae. The record is from the annotation of a GenBank genome assembly.
CUUUAAUAGAAAAGGAAUGAUAGGUAAGGGAGGGAACACAUACCCCAGAUCUAAAUCCCAUGGUUGGGACAGGGCAUCUUGACCUGCUGACAGAGGAUCUGGAUUCAGGGAGAAAAUUACCGUACUUGUUCAUUCUUUCUGUUUGCCAUAAGUUUGAUUUGGAGUAUGCCCCACCUUUGAGUGAUCAUCCUGAAUACCUCUGGGUGUAAGCUCCAUUCUCCUGGUUGAAUAACUUUUCUGCUCAGAUAGUCUUCUAUAGUAUUGUACACUCCAGGUAGGUACAGUGCUUUCAGAACUAACAGAUGUUUCUGGGCCCGGAUCAUGAGGGGUUUCAUAGCUGAAAGAAGACAUUUGCUCAUGGUGCC